GUACACUCCUGCGGGAGGCAGCAGUGGGGAAUUUUGGACAAUGGGCGAAAGCCUGAUCCAGCAAUGCCGCGUGAGUGAAGAAGGCCUUCGGGUUGUAAAGCUCUUUUGUCAGGGAAGAAACGGUGAGAGCUAAUAUCUCUUGCUAAUGACGGUACCUGAAGAAUAAGCACCGGCUAACUACGUGCCAGCAGCCGCGGUAAUACGUAGGGUGCAAGCGUUAAUCGGAAUUACUGGGCGUAAAGCGUGCGCAGGCGGUUUUGUAAGUCUGAUGUGAAAUCCCCGGGCUCAACCUGGGAAUUGCAUUGGAGACUGCAAGGCUAGAAUCUGGCAGAGGGGGGUAGAAUUCCACGUGUAGCAGUGAAAUGCGUAGAUAUGUGGAGGAACACCGAUGGCGAAGGCAGCCCCCUGGGUCAAGAUUGACGCUCAUGCACGAAAGCGUGGGGAGCAAACAGGAUUAGAAACCCCAGUAGUCCCAUG
This 477-nucleotide ribosomal RNA is filed under the name uncultured organism. RNAcentral's name for it is "partial 16S ribosomal RNA". It matches the Rfam family "Bacterial small subunit ribosomal RNA", at positions 331 to 799 of the family's 1533-position model. The record is from RNAcentral.